CGUCGGAACGGAGCUAAUACCGGAUAAUAUAUUGAACCGCAUGGUUCAAUGGUGAAAGACGGUUUUGCUGUCACUUAUAGAUGGAUCCGCGCCGCAUUAGCUAGUUGGUAAGGUAACGGCUUACCAAGGCAACGAUGCGUAGCCGACCUGAGAGGGUGAUCGGCAACACUGGAACUGAGACACGGUCCAGACUCCUACGGGAGGCAGCAGGA
Molecule: ribosomal RNA, 212 nt
Filed under: uncultured Staphylococcus sp.
Lineage: Bacteria; Bacillati; Bacillota; Bacilli; Caryophanales; Staphylococcaceae
Description: partial 16S ribosomal RNA
Rfam family: Bacterial small subunit ribosomal RNA
Source: RNAcentral